GUUGUAGCAGUACAGCAGUGGCAGACGGGUGAGUAACACGUGGGAACCUACCUAGGGGUACGGAAUAACUCAGGGAAACUUGUGCUAAUACCGUAUACGACCUUCGGGUGAAAGAUUUAUCGCCCCUAGAUGGGCCCGCGUUGGAUUAGCUAGUUGGUGGGGUAAAAGCCUACCAAGGCGACGAUCCAUAGCUGGUCUGAGAGGAUGAUCAGCCACACUGGGACUGAGACACGGCCCAAACUCCUACGGGAGGCAGCAGUAGGGAAUCUUGGACAAUGGGCGAAAGCCUGAUCCAGCCAUGCCGCGUGAGUGAUGAAGGCCUUAGGGUUGUAAAGCUCUUUCGCCAGGGAAGAUAAUGACGGUACCUGGAUAAGAAGCCCCGGCAAACUUCGUGCCAGCAGCCGCGGUAAUACGAAGGGGGCUAGCGUUGUUCGGAAUUACUGGGCGUAAAGCGCACGUAGGCGGUUUUCCAAGUUGGAGGUGAAAUCCCUGGGCUCAACCCGGGAACUGCCUCCAAAACUGGAUGACUCGAGUCCGAGAGAGGUGAGUGGAAUUUCCAGUGUAGAGGUGAAAUUCGUAGAUAUUGGAAAGAACACCAGUGGCGAAGGCGGCUCACUGGCUCGGUACUGACGCUGAGGUGCGACAGCGUG
This 650-nucleotide ribosomal RNA is filed under the name uncultured bacterium. Its description in RNAcentral is "bacterial SSU rRNA". It matches the Rfam family "Bacterial small subunit ribosomal RNA", at positions 69 to 763 of the family's 1533-position model. The record is from RNAcentral.